Molecule: long non-coding RNA, 431 nt
Filed under: Chrysolophus pictus (golden pheasant)
Lineage: Eukaryota; Metazoa; Chordata; Aves; Galliformes; Phasianidae
Description: lncRNA (ENSCPIG00010014796.1)
Source: RNAcentral
CCUUGGAGGCGCUGCCGGAGGAGUUGUGCUCAUUGGGUCCCUAUGGCUGUGGGAGCAGCAGCACCAGCUUUGAGGACGACCUGACGCUGGGAGCUGAAGGUAGCAGCCACCCCUGGGGGUCCCUUCCUGUCCCCAACGCUCUGAGCAUCCCUGGAGGAUGCAGGGACAGGGAGCACACCUAUGGGGACAGGCUGUUUGUCCCGGAUGGUUUCACUGUGUGGAUGGGGCUGCAGACACAGGGCCUGUCCCCAAAGCUCCCCAGUCGUCCCCUCCCAUUCCCUGCCACCUCUCUGCUUCCUUUUUGCAGCUCUUCUGCUACCAGGGAACAAUAAAACCUUCGGCAGGGCUCUGCAGGGCAGACGCCUCAGCCUGGGGCACAGCAUGGCAUCCAGCGCGCCCUCCGGCCUCACCAACCUGACCAGCUCCAGGUG